AUUGAACGCUGGCGGCGGGCCUAACACAUGCAAGUCGAGCGGAUGAAGGGAGCUUGCUCCUGGAUUCAGCGGCGGACGGGUGAGUAAUGCCUAGGAAUCUGCCUGGUAGUGGGGGAUAACGUCCGGAAACGGGCGCUAAUACCGCAUACGUCCUGAGGGAGAAAGUGGGGGAUCUUCGGACCUCACGCUAUCAGAUGAGCCUAGGUCGGAUUAGCUAGUUGGUGGGGUAAAGGCCUACCAAGGCGACGAUCCGUAACUGGUCUGAGAGGAUGGUCAGUCACAUUGGAAGUGGAACACGGACCAGGGGCCUGAGGGAGGCAGCAGAGGGGAAUAUGGGACAGUGGUCGGAAGUCUGAUACAGUCAUGCCGCGUGUGAGAAGAAGGUCUUCGGAUUGUAAAGCACUUUAAGGUGGUGGGAAGGGCAUUAAGUUAAUACCUUGCUGUUUUGACGGUACCAACAGAAUAAGCACCGGCUAACUACGUG
RNAcentral lists this ribosomal RNA (484 nucleotides) under uncultured bacterium. RNAcentral's name for it is "partial 16S ribosomal RNA". It matches the Rfam family "Bacterial small subunit ribosomal RNA", at positions 30 to 507 of the family's 1533-position model. The record is from RNAcentral.